Long non-coding RNA from Physella acuta, 323 nucleotides. RefSeq lists it as uncharacterized. The record is from RefSeq and is a predicted model, not a curated record. Lineage: Eukaryota; Metazoa; Mollusca; Gastropoda; Physidae.
UGUGGAGCUCUCCACUGUGGGAGUAGGAAGCCAGACAGCAAAAGUCGUUUGGUCGUCGGGAAUUUCAAAUUCUUACCUGGCUACGGUUUAGACAUUUCAACAUUUUAGAAGAAGAUUUAUUUCCCCGAGCAGUGUGAACUAGGAACGCAACAAAAACAGGAGGAUGAGUAGCACACGAUGGAACUUCCGGCUGUUGCAAGUAGUCGCAGUCGUGGCCUGUGUUUUAUGUCUCCUCCCCCUUACAGCGUCAUACGGUGUAGUAAGAAACUCAGAAAUGCCAGACCUUUUAUCCAGUGUCAAGCGAAGAGGAGGGAGAAACGUAA